UACGUAGGGUGCGAGCGUUGUCCGGAAUUAUUGGGCGUAAAGAGCUCGUAGGCGGUCUGUCGCGUCGGUCGUGAAAACUUGGGGCUUAACCCUGAGCUUGCGGUCGAUACGGGCAUGACUGGAGUUCGGCAGGGGAGACUGGAAUUCCUGGUGUAGCGGUGGAAUGCGCAGAUAUCAGGAGGAACACCGGUGGCGAAGGCGGGUCUCUGGGCAGUAACUGACGCUGAGGUGCGACAGCGUGGGGAGCAAACAGG
Molecule: ribosomal RNA, 254 nt
Filed under: uncultured bacterium
Lineage: Bacteria
Description: partial 16S ribosomal RNA
Rfam family: Bacterial small subunit ribosomal RNA
Source: RNAcentral